UGGGGAUUCGCCAAGUUGGUUAAGGCACCGGAUUUUGAUUCCGGCAUUCGUAGGUUCGAAUCCUACAUCCCCAGCCA
Molecule: transfer RNA, 77 nt
Filed under: Neisseria canis
Lineage: Bacteria; Pseudomonadati; Pseudomonadota; Betaproteobacteria; Neisseriales; Neisseriaceae
Also listed under: 20 other names
Description: tRNA-Gln(ttg)
Rfam family: tRNA
About the family: Transfer RNA (tRNA) molecules are approximately 80 nucleotides in length.
Source: RNAcentral